GAUGAAGAACGUAGCGAAAUGCGAUAAGUAAUGUGAAUUGCAGAAUUCAGUGAAUCAUCGAAUCUUUGAACGCACAUUGCGCCCGCCAGUAUUCUGGCGGGCAUGCCUGUUCGAGCGUCAUUACAACCCUCAGGCCCCCGGGCCUGGCGUUGGGGAUCGGCGGAAGCCCCCUGCGGGCACAACGCCGUCCCCCAAAUACAGUGGCGGUCCCGCCGCAGCUUCCAUUGCGUAGUAGCUAACACCUCGCAACUGGAGAGCGGCGCGGCCACGCCGUAAAACACCCAACUUCUGAAUGUUGACCUCGAAUCAGGUAGGAAUACCCGCUGAACUUAAGCAUAUCAGUAAGCGGAGGA
This 353-nucleotide unclassified non-coding RNA is filed under the name soil metagenome. RNAcentral's name for it is "partial contains 5.8S ribosomal RNA, internal transcribed spacer 2, and large subunit ribosomal RNA". The stretch from base 1 to 120 matches the Rfam family "5.8S ribosomal RNA", at positions 35 to 154 of the family's 154-position model. The record is from RNAcentral.